AAAUGGAAAAUGCAUCUCCUGCAGAAAAUGCGUGGGAAUGCUGAAUAGCUGAAUUGCUAAAGCUAACCUGGUUGAAAAGAUUAAAUCAGUACGAAGAUGUUGAAGUAGUGAGAAUUG
Molecule: long non-coding RNA, 117 nt
Organism: Etheostoma cragini (Arkansas darter)
Lineage: Eukaryota; Metazoa; Chordata; Actinopteri; Perciformes; Percidae
Exons: 2
Source: RefSeq, a predicted model, not a curated record